AGAGUUUGAUCAUGGCUCAGAUUGAACGCUGGCGGCAUGCCUUACACAUGCAAGUCGAACGGCAGCAUGAUCUAGCUUGCUAGAUUGAUGGCGAGUGGCGAACGGGUGAGUAAUACAUCGGAACGUGCCCUGUAGUGGGGGAUAACUAGUCGAAAGAUUAGCUAAUACCGCAUACGACCUGAGGGUGAAAGUGGGGGACCGCAAGGCCUCAUGCUAUAGGAGCGGCCGAUGUCUGAUUAGCUAGUUGGUGGGGUAAAGGCCCACCAAGGCGACGAUCAGUAGCUGGUCUGAGAGGACGAUCAGCCACACUGGGACUGAGACACGGCCCAGACUCCUACGGGAGGCAGCAGUGGGGAAUUUUGGACAAUGGGGGCAACCCUGAUCCAGCAAUGCCGCGUGUGUGAAGAAGGCCUUCGGGUUGUAAAGCACUUUUGUCCGGAAAGAAAUCGCACUUACUAAUAUUAGGUGUGGAUGACGGUACCGGAAGAAUAAGGACCGGCUAACUACGUGCCAGCAGCCGCGGUAAUACGUAGGGUCCAAGCGUUAAUCGGAAUUACUGGGCGUAAAGCGUGCGCAGGCGGUUGUGCAAGACCGAUGUGAAAUCCCCGGGCUUAACCUGGGAAUUGCAUUGGUGACUGCACGGCUAGAGUGUGUCAGAGGGGGGUAGAAUUCCACGUGUAGCAGUGAAAUGCGUAGAGAUGUGGAGGAAUACCGAUGGCGAAGGCAGCCCCCUGGGAUAACACUGACGCUCAUGCACGAAAGCGUGGGGAGCAAACAGGAUUAGAUACCCUGGUAGUCCACGCCCUAAACGAUGUCAACUAGUUGUUGGGGAUUCAUUUCCUUAGUAACGUAGCUAACGCGUGAAGUUGACCGCCUGGGGAGUACGGUCGCAAGAUUAAAACUCAAAGGAAUUGACGGGGACCCGCACAAGCGGUGGAUGAUGUGGAUUAAUUCGAUGCAACGCGAAAAACCUUACCUACCCUUGACAUGCCACUAACGAAGCAGAGAUGCAUUAGGUGCUCGAAAGAGAAAGUGGACACAGGUGCUGCAUGGCUGUCGUCAGCUCGUGUCGUGAGAUGUUGGGUUAAGUCCCGCAACGAGCGCAACCCUUGUCUCUAGUUGCUACGAAAGGGCACUCUAGAGAGACUGCCGGUGACAAACCGGAGGAAGGUGGGGAUGACGUCAAGUCCUCAUGGCCCUUAUGGGUAGGGCUUCACACGUCAUACAAUGGUGCAUACAGAGGGUUGCCAAGCCGCGAGGUGGAGCUAAUCCCAGAGAAUGCAUCGUAGUCCGGAUCGUAGUCUGCAACUCGACUACGUGAAGCUGGAAUCGCUAGUAAUCGCGGAUCAGCAUGCCGCGGUGAA
RNAcentral lists this ribosomal RNA (1364 nucleotides) under unidentified marine bacterioplankton. RNAcentral's name for it is "bacterial SSU rRNA". It matches the Rfam family "Bacterial small subunit ribosomal RNA", at positions 8 to 1366 of the family's 1533-position model. RNAcentral also lists the same sequence under 1 other name. The record is from RNAcentral.